RNAcentral lists this long non-coding RNA (2580 nucleotides) under Glycine max (soybean). RNAcentral's name for it is "long non-coding RNA (GMAX_LNC001248)". The record is from RNAcentral. Lineage: Eukaryota; Viridiplantae; Streptophyta; Magnoliopsida; Fabales; Fabaceae.
UCUGCUGUUAAUAUCUGAAGUUGUAAGCAGUGCAUACCUUCCGCUGAAUCCAUGCUUUCUUUUGUGUUUUUUCACCUGUUAAGAGCACAAUAAAUAUAUCCUUUAAAUGCUUUCAAAUACGUAAAAAUGUUUUAUUUUCCAUUAAUAACUAACCAUUUUGUUCCCUUUAGUACUACUUAUACAUCAGGCUCAAAGGAUAGAAAACCCUUCUUUUAUUUCAUAUAUCCGUCUUCAGUCUUAACUAACAUGAUAAUGUUUUUAGAUUGAAAUGCAUGAUGAUCAUUCCUUUUUCAGGCAUGGGUUGAUAUGUAUUCAACUAGACGAUAUGGACAGACACUUCCUUUAAUACAAGAGGGAUGGAACGUCUUAUAUCACACCAUUUACAAUUGCACUGAUGGAGCAUAUGUAAGUACUUGGUUGAUACUUAUAACCUGCUUCAGAUUAGUAAUUUCUUUCAGUUAUUCCUGCAAUAGAAGACCUAUGUAAUUACGUGUUCAAUGCUUCUCAUUUACUGUCUUCCCUUUAUUACUGUAUCUUUCCCUUUAUGAUGCAUUUAUACAACAACAAAGCCUUAUCUCACAAAGUUGUGAUGCAUUUAUGUUAACAAAACAAAAAUGGUGUUGUAUUUCAUUAUGCCCUUGAUACAUAUAAAGCAAGAAACAGAAAGGAUACAUCACAUUGCUUUGACUACUUAUUUUCUCUCCUUUAAUCGGACCAACCAACCGACAACUUGUUCACAAAUGACAAUCUGAACUGCACAUUUUAUGCUCAGUUCUAGUCCUAACUAAUCAUGAAUAGAUUAGUAUAUCAUAUUUUAGUUUUAACCAGAUAUUCUUGGUGUAUGGGAACAGGACAAAAACAGAGAUGUCAUCGUAGCAUUCCCAGAUGUUGACCCUUCCUUAAUUUCAGUACAGCAUGAGCAGUCUCACCACAAUGACAAGCCCUACUCAGGAACAAUUAUCAAGGAAAUAACUGAUUCAUUUGAUCGACCGCAUUUAUGGUAUCCAACUUCUGAAGUAAUUUAUGCAUUGGAACUAUUUAUAACUAGUGGAGAUGAACUUUCUAGAUGCAAUACUUAUAGGUAAGACUGAAAAGUUGGCUAUACAAGAAUUCUUGCUCUUGUUUCAGAACUCAGCUGAAUGUAACUCAAUAGUCUUACCAUAUGUUGAGAUUUAAUAUCCAGAUCCAUGAUAUUUAUUCUUUACUCAGGUAUGACCUAGUUGAUCUGACUAGACAAGUCUUGGCAAAAUAUGCUAAUGAAUUGUUCUUUAAGGUCAUAGAGGCAUAUCAAUCACAUGAUAUCCAUGGAAUGACCCUCCUCAGCCAGAGAUUUCUGGACCUAGUGGAAGAUUUGGACACACUAUUGGCUUGCCAUGAUGGUUUUCUUCUGGGACCUUGGUUAGAAAGCGCAAAGCAACUAGCUCUAAAUGAAGAACAGGAGAGACAGGUUUGAUAUACUUUAAUAUCAUUGGUGCAUAUUUUUCAAUCCAUCUGUCUUAUACUUCUAUUGAUGUAACAUUUACAGUUUGAGUGGAAUGCUAGAACACAAAUCACCAUGUGGUUUGACAACUCAGAUGAGGAAGCCAGUCUGCUUCGUGACUAUGGUAUGAAAAACAGUUGAUACCGUGCUACUCGGCUACUCCCUCCAAUCUUGAUUAUGAGCAAAAAAAGACACAUGUCACAUUUAUUAAAAAAAUUAGUGAACUUUAUUAAAUUGUGUCAUUUCUAAUUAAAAAAUAAACAUUUUCCCUUAACUAUCAUUCAUUGGAACUUUGAUAUCAAGCAUAAAAAAUGUUUUUGACCUUAUUAAAUGAAGGAUAAUUUAGAGACAAUCUCAUUAAAUAAGACAGAUAAUUGAGAUUUGCUUAUAUUUGAGACAAAAAAAAAAAAGAAACUUUUGUACUUGUAUUCAAGACCGGUGGGAGUAUAUUAUUUAACUUGUUAUUCACUAUAGGGGAUGUGCUGGCCUUUGCUGCAACAAUACUAAAGUAAAGGCUAAAGUAAAGGCUUUUUGGUCUUUUGUUUUUGUAAAUAGUAAUCACUCCCCUCUUUAUGAAUAGCUUUUCUGGAAGGAAAGGAAAAUAAAAGCUCUGCGAUGUUUAGUUAUGUUGUUUAACUUCUUUCCACAGGAAACAAGUACUGGAACGGGCUUCUACAUGAUUACUAUGGUCCCAGAGCUGCUAUUUAUUUCAAAUAUUUAAGAGAAAGCUUAGAGAGUGGUGAAGAUUUCAAGCUAAGGGGAUGGAGGAGGGAGUGGAUUAAGCUUACUAAUGAAUGGCAAAAGCGUAGGAAUAUUUUCCCAGUGGAAAGUAGUGGAGAUGCACUAAACACUUCAAGGUGGCUCUUUAACAAAUACCUGAACCUGAGCAAUCCUGAAACAAAGCUUGUACUGGAGUUGAACUGAACGCAAAUCAACGAAAUUUCUAUAAACUAUGCUUACAUGUUUAUAUGAAGCCAAGACCAUCUCGUUAAUCCAGUUCACUUAUCUCUAGAUUUUCAUUUUCCAUACACUGAUACACCGAUGCCAAUUUUCUUUUUGAAAAUAUUUGCCAAUGUGGAAAGGAAACUAUAGCUUUCCAG